CAAGGUUGUCAGAACCGGACCGGCCGGUCGGACCGGGAACCGGGCUUACAUGCGGUUCGGUUUAGACUGAAAAACGGACAGCAAACGAACCGGUAAAAAAAGUUCGAACCGGAGUCGAACCGGAACAAACCGGUGAACCGGCCGGUGCGGUUUAGCGGUUCGGCCAUUUUUGAUUUUUUUUUCUUCACUUUUCCACUUAAUCUCUGUUAUUUUCUUCAUCUUUCUCGGUUCAUAAUCAAUGGCAUAAAAAUCAAUAAUAAUAAAAAAAAACCUUUCUUUUUCCUUCUCCUUCUAUAUUCAUUUGUUGGAUCUGAAAAUGCAUCUGAUUGGUUUGAUUUGUGUGUUGUGCUUAGAGGUGGGAACAGGCCAGGCCGGCCUACAUGGCCUUAAGGCCUAGCCUACAUAGGCUCAGGCCAGGCCAGCCUAUUUCUUUAAAUAGAGCAGGCCAAUGUUUUUUUAUAAGCCUAUUUAGCUAAAAAGGCCAGGCCGCAGGUCAUUAAAAAAGCCUUUGAGGCCUACUAGGCCGGCCUAUUUAAGUUAACAUGAAUAAUAUUUUUAUUACGAUUAUUAUUUAUAUAUUAAAAUUUAUACUUUGAUUAAAUUAUAAAUCUAUUAACUUUUUAAGUAAUUUAAGUUUAUU
Molecule: long non-coding RNA, 640 nt
Filed under: Trifolium pratense (red clover)
Lineage: Eukaryota; Viridiplantae; Streptophyta; Magnoliopsida; Fabales; Fabaceae
Description: long non-coding RNA (TPRA_LNC003028)
Source: RNAcentral